Molecule: ribosomal RNA, 529 nt
Filed under: Escherichia coli
Lineage: Bacteria; Pseudomonadati; Pseudomonadota; Gammaproteobacteria; Enterobacterales; Enterobacteriaceae
Description: bacterial SSU rRNA
Rfam family: Bacterial small subunit ribosomal RNA
Source: RNAcentral
GAGAUGAGAAUGUGCCUUCGGGAACCGUGAGACAGGUGCUGCAUGGCUGUCGUCAGCUCGUGUUGUGAAAUGUUGGGUUAAGUCCCGCAACGAGCGCAACCCUUAUCCUUUGUUGCCAGCGGUCCGGCCGGGAACUCAAAGGAGACUGCCAGUGAUAAACUGGAGGAAGGUGGGGAUGACGUCAAGUCAUCAUGGCCCUUACGACCAGGGCUACACACGUGCUACAAUGGCGCAUACAAAGAGAAGCGACCUCGCGAGAGCAAGCGGACCUCAUAAAGUGCGUCGUAGUCCGGAUUGGAGUCUGCAACUCGACUCCAUGAAGUCGGAAUCGCUAGUAAUCGUGGAUCAGAAUGCCACGGUGAAUACGUUCCCGGGCCUUGUACACACCGCCCGUCACACCAUGGGAGUGGGUUGCAAAAGAAGUAGGUAGCUUAACCUUCGGGAGGGCGCUUACCACUUUGUGAUUCAUGACUGGGGUGAAGUCGUAACAAGGUAACCGUAGGGGAACCUGCGGUUGGAUCACCUCCUU